GAAAACAUCUAUUUCAGCAUCCAAUCAUCCACUGAAUGAUAGGUUUCUGCAAGGAAGAUGAAAAAUACAUAGAACUGGACCUUUGCUUCGGCGGAUAUGUCCAGAUUGCAUUGUAUACUACUUAAACAGUUUGGAACAAAUCUGAAACUCCUUGACAACAACAUUAGAAACAAAUCCAUAGAUAAUAGUAGUACUACUUUGCAGCCUAAAUCCACCCGAGAAGACACCUUGUCUCCAAUUAAUAAACUAGUAAUUAACUACAGUCUUACACCCGCAUAAUGAUACUAUCAUUAGGAGAAGAUUUGAGAACAGUUGGUGUUCUUUUCGAUCCAAAUGCAGAAACGCACCUCCUUGGAUGAACGAGAGGAAGUAGGAUGUGUGGAUCUCAAAUCCAGCGGCCAUGGAGAAGAUAGGGAGGGGCGGCGGCGGAGGCGUGCCGAAGUCGAUGCAGAUGGAGAGGAGGCCCAGCGUGGCGGUGGUCGGCGGGGGCGAGCUUGACCCGAGGCGUGGAUCCUCCACGGCGGCGACCUGUGUGGAACAGAGAGAGAGAGCUGAGAGGGAGAGCGAAGGAAGAAAGAGGAGGGAAGGCAGGAGGGGACCGGCGUGACGCGGAUCCUGUUCGCCGGCGAGACGGCCGCUCGUGAAGCUCCUGGGCGGCGUGCUUCACCAUAUGCGUGCAAGGGGAUUAGUUGUUUUUUUUCUGAAGAGAGGCAGCUACUAAAGAGAGAGAGCGAGUCAGCGACGACUGUUUCUGUCGGCUAGCGCGGCCACUCGUUUCCUCCGGAUCGUGCGCGCGCACUUUUUAGGUUUUGGGCAAUUUGAAAGUACAUAUAUUUCAAAAAUAAUCACGAAUUAGAAUAAAG
This 863-nucleotide long non-coding RNA is filed under the name Triticum aestivum (bread wheat). RNAcentral's name for it is "long non-coding RNA (TAES_LNC000410)". The record is from RNAcentral. Lineage: Eukaryota; Viridiplantae; Streptophyta; Magnoliopsida; Poales; Poaceae.